UUCUACAGCCAGAUAGGAGUCUGAGACUGAAGAACUGCCAAGAACCUGGCAGGCCAGCUAGCCUGGAGUACUCAGCACAGCAGGAGAAAUAGAGAGCCUACGUGGAAACUAUUGCUGUAGUCAAGGCCACCAUCAUCCCGUCUACAAAUGACUACAAAAAUCUCCUACACGGAUUUACUGCCAACAGUGUUUGUUAUAGACUAUCAGAAGAAUAAACACGGCUCAGUGACUUUGCUCCCUCUUCCAAGGAAGAAAACAAACAAAACCAGAACCCCACCAAGUCAGGCCGAUGAACAAACGCUUGAAAAAUAGAGUUCCCACAGCCUUGUUCCUUCAUCGUAGGAUGACCUUUAACCUCAGCACGGAGCCUGGAUCGACCUGAACUUGCCACUCUCUGUCAUUAGACUCUCAAGUUCUGGGACCAUGGGCGUGUGUCACCGUGUCCAAUUUCUGUAGUUUUAUGAAAACUUUAAAUUGUGAAAUAUUAGUGCAUCGCCUUGAAUCCAAAGAAGUCAGUGCGCAUGCUUCUGUGUACUUUGGACCUGCUUUAAUUAUAGGCCUCCCUAUGUGUCACUGUCAUGAAAUCCAGCGAGCCAAAGGUGAUGCACACUUUCCCCUGUGGCUUCCAAACCUGCCACAUCUGACUUGGGAUUCUGGGCUAAAGCCAGCGUUCCAAGGAGAGUUGGGAACCACUGGGGAAUUCCAGCACCCUGGGAGAGAGAAGCUGCAGUCUUUAAAACAAGACUGCUGAGUCACCCCGCUUAGAUCUGUACCCUCUCUCUCUGACUCUUCUUUAGCUCACUGCUGUGACAGUCACCCAAGGGCAUUUUGUUGGCAUUGAGUGGGAAUGGGGGCAAGAGGAGAACAGCAUGGCUUGGACAUGGGAUAAGAAUGCAUCAAAACAUUUAGCCCGUCACACCUAAUGUCAACCCUAUCAGCCUUACUAAAAGUGAUGCAUAGAGGCCACUUGUCACAUAAGGAAAGUGGAAGCUGCUCUUGUUUCUCUGGGUCAUCCGCUCCUCCCCACCUACCAGACAGGAGAAGGUUUCUGACUGCCCAGGCCUUUCUGCUCUCUACAUUACCCAUCGGGCUGCCUCUGG
Peromyscus eremicus (cactus mouse) is the source of this 1100-nucleotide long non-coding RNA. RefSeq lists it as uncharacterized. Lineage: Eukaryota; Metazoa; Chordata; Mammalia; Rodentia; Cricetidae. The record is from RefSeq and is a predicted model, not a curated record. The transcript is spliced from 3 exons.